GACGAACGCUGGCGGCGUGCUUAACACAUGCAAGUCGAACGAAGAGCGACGGAAGCUUGCUUCUAUCAAUCUUAGUGGCGAACGGGUGAGUAACGCGUAAUCAACCUGCCCUUCAGAGGGGGACAACAGUUGGAAACGACUGCUAAUACCGCAUACGAUCUAACCUCGGCAUCGAGGAUAGAUGAAAGGUGGCCUCUACAUGUAAGCUAUCACUGAAGGAGGGGAUUGCGUCUGAUUAGCUAGUUGGAGGGGUAACGGCCCACAAAGGCGAUGAUCAGUAGCAGGUCUGAGAGGAUGAACGGCCACAUUGGGACUGAGACACGGCCCAGACUCCUACGGGAGGCAGCAGUGGGGAAUCUUCCGCAAUGGACGAAAGUCUGACGGAGCAACGCCGCGUGAGUGAUGACGGCCUUCGGGUUGUAAAGCUCUGUUAAUCGGGACGAAAGGCCUUCUUGCGAAUAGUGAGAAGGAUUGACGGUACCGGAAUAGAAAGCCACGGCUAACUACGUG
This 510-nucleotide ribosomal RNA is filed under the name uncultured bacterium. Its description in RNAcentral is "partial 16S ribosomal RNA". It matches the Rfam family "Bacterial small subunit ribosomal RNA", at positions 28 to 507 of the family's 1533-position model. The record is from RNAcentral.